RNAcentral lists this transfer RNA (72 nucleotides) under Patescibacteria group bacterium. RNAcentral's name for it is "tRNA-Phe". It matches the Rfam family "tRNA". Rfam says of the family: Transfer RNA (tRNA) molecules are approximately 80 nucleotides in length. Their secondary structure includes four short double-helical elements and three loops (D, anti-codon, and T loops). RNAcentral also lists the same sequence under 1 other name. The record is from RNAcentral.
GCCGAAGUAGCUCAGUGGUAGAGCACGCCCCUGAAGAGGGUGGUGUCGUCAGUUCGAUUCUGACCUUCGGCA